RNAcentral lists this unclassified non-coding RNA (434 nucleotides) under Hevea brasiliensis (rubber tree). Lineage: Eukaryota; Viridiplantae; Streptophyta; Magnoliopsida; Malpighiales; Euphorbiaceae. The record is from RNAcentral.
AAACCAAUAAAUGCCAUAAUAAGGAUGGUUGGGUAUAUCGAAGUUUUAGGAGAGAAGAGGUGCGUUGACCUAUGAUGAAUUAAAAUAGUGAAAAAGUACUUAGCAGCUCUAAAUAUUUUUGUACAUUUAGCCCUAAUCUAUCUAUUAUGGAGGAAGAUGAUUUAUAUCGUCUACUCUGACUAGAUUAAGAUUAAGGAUAAGUUCAGUUGAGUUGGAAAAAAGAAUAUUAUUGAUGAAAGGGCAAGUUGAAAGCAAGGAGUAUUUGAGCGACAAAGAUGAAUUCCUCUUUAGGAUUGGCUUAGAGUAAGAACUUGCUUCUGUAGUAGAUAACGGCAAGAUCCAAUGAUGCUCGAGUUGAUCCUCGCUAGUAUUUUUGUUAAUAGGCUUGUAUUGUCACAAUUAGUAUUGGCAUCGACUUACACCCGCUACUAUAU